This 3715-nucleotide long non-coding RNA is filed under the name Aquilegia coerulea. RNAcentral's name for it is "long non-coding RNA (ACOE_LNC001056)". The record is from RNAcentral. Lineage: Eukaryota; Viridiplantae; Streptophyta; Magnoliopsida; Ranunculales; Ranunculaceae.
AUCAGGAUAUGAAAUUAGAUACAAUAAGCCUCUAGAGUGCCGUGGAUGUGAGAUUUCUGGUGGUAAGUGUGGAUCCCAACCUAUAUCUGGGACUUUUGUUUGCUUCUGCCCAUCUAGUGUCCAUCCAAUGAAUUGCUCCGACGGUAUGUAUCAGAAUCAAGUCCUAGUUUUUCUUUGUUUCAUAGUUAUGAUUUUGUACUAUAGUCGCGGAGUAUAGUUAAGUUACUACCAUCUGCUGAGUAUAGUUAAGUUACUACCAUCUAAAUUCAUUUUGAUUAAUCAAUCAUUUCAAUCAUUUAAAAUCUUAUUGGAUAAGAGACGAGGGACUCAUCUCAUUUUAGAUUUGAUUAUAGGGAUUUUGGCACUUACCCCCCUUGAAAGUUGAAAUUUGCGUUACCCUCCAAUUUUAAAAAUACAGAAGUAAACCCCGCCCCCUAAUUGGACAGGAAAAAAGACGACGUUACAAAAAUCAAUUUUUAAAUUUUUAAAAAAUAAAAUAUUUUUAUAACACCAAAAUUACCCCUCUUUCAAACACGUAAAUAUUAAACAUAAUUAUUAAUACCCUCCACUAAAAUAUAUAUAAUUAACAUUACUCCCCUCCCCCACCACACACACAAAUCGAUUUGCAGAAAAAAAAAAUUAAAUGAGAAGAUACAUUUUUGAGGAAAGAAGAUGAAAUUUGUUUGAGAAAUUUGAAAAAAGAUACUAUAUACUUGUUUCGAUCACCCAUACUUAGUUCUACUUGUUAGCUUUACAUUUAAGAAAAUCUAACUUAGAGGAAAAUUAGGUUUAUUUAUAGAUUUUUGGGGAUUUUGGAGAAGACAACAAAGCCAACGGAUAUAUUUUGAAAUGUAAAUUACGGGUAGUUUUGGUAGCAUGAUGAUUUUUCUUCAUUUUAUGACCGUUGGAUUAAGUAAUAAAUAGAUGGAUAAGAUUUUAACACGUGUCAUCCUUAUCAAAAUAAAGAAGGAUAGUUUUGGUAAUAUAAAAAUAUUUUAUUUAAAAAAAUAAAUUUUGUAACUCUGUCUUUUUUUUCGCCCAAUUAGGGGUUUAUUGCUAUCUUUUUUAAAUUGGGGGUAACGUAAAUUUCAACUUUCAAUGGGGGUAAGUGCCAAAAUCUUUUGAUUAUAAAAGAGCUGAACUGAAAUUAUUCGUUAAUCGGAUGAAUAUUUAAUACUGGUAUACUUUAUAUAUACAAUUAUAAACCCAUUCUCCUAAUCUUUAUUGGAGUAUUAUUUAAUAAGAGACUUGCCUGACUUAGAACAGUACGGCUCUAUCACCCAUAUAUGAUCAUAUUUUGCCAGUUUCGGACCAAAAUACCACGAACAAAUGUCAUUCUGUUGGUAUAUUCACUGUUCCAUUUCUUUAGCCACCCAGCUUUUGAGUAAUACUCCCUUUGUUACGUUAUAGAAAAUCCAACUUACGAAUAUUAUUUUAUAAUUUAUCUAUUAAAUAUAUUUUUAAAUUUAUCCUAAUUAAUUAUUAGAAUGAAUUACUCUAUUUAUUAUUAUUAAAAUAAUUAUUUUAAUACCAAAGCUAGACUGAUAUAGGUAAAAGAACGUAUUAACUUAAUUAAUAUGCAUUCAAAUAUUAUGAAAAAUGACAUAUAUUUUAGGACUACCAAAAAAGAAUAAUGUACUUAUAAUUUAAGACGGAGGGAGUAAUUAUAAUACAAACUUUUAAUAAUUAUUUAAUAAUUAUUGGGACCUACUACUAAGUAGAUUCAUUUUCUUUCAGGUAUACCUUGUACAUAAUUCAUUUAAGAUAAAUAUACCAUGGUGGGCUGGGCUUUAUUAUUAUCAAAUUGCCAAAAGCCAUUAACUAAAUUACUUUGAGUGUCAAGCAGUCCACUAAAAGGCCCAAACUAAAACAAAUUUUAAAAUUAUUUUUGUAUGAUUUAUAUCAAAUUUUAUUUAUUUAUUUAUUGAUUAUUAUUAUUUAUAUUAUUUUUAGAUUUUGAGUUUUUUCCUUUUUACAUCUAUUUUUCAAUUUUAGUUAGACUCAACUAACCAUUACAAAACAAUUGUAUCAUUAAAAGUUAUGAAGGUUACAAAUUCAACAUUUAUUUUUAACAAUUUUGUUCUCAUUAUUAUACAUAUAGACUUAAUAUUUUUUUCUAAUCAUAUUUUUCUUCUCUCUUUUACGUACACAAACCUCUUUUAUUUAAGAGAUCUACAUACUAAAUUAUUCACUUCCUUUUUAUAAUUGAACAUAUAGAUUCAAUAGUGUCCGAUAACAUUUUCAAUAAUUAGUUUUUUUUAGAUAAUAAUAAUAAUAUAGACAAAAUUCAGAAAACAUACAAGAUCCCCAAGAGUAUGAUAAUUGAAAAUAUUACAGAAACAUGGCUCAUACUUAAAAAGGACAAGCUAAAAAAACCCACUCCACAUAAAAACUCGAGCACAACCAAAGCAAAUCAAAACGAACAUUACGCUCAACCAAACCAAAUUGAGUAAGUAUGCAUAUACAAUCCUAUACACCAAAGAUGAAUAAUUGCUGCCGAAGUGCAUCAGUUCACACUCAAAACCUUAAACCCCUAAAGGUUUGUGAAAAAACACCAACAUGGUUAAGGACUGAAAAGGUAACAAGAAGAAAUGAAGACAUUAGACAAAGUAUUAGACUUUGAAGAACCAAAGUUGCAAGAAGAACCAAACAAUCCUAAAUGUGAAAAAGAACCUCUAAUCAUCCAUCAACCUAAAAUGAAGAAAACAACAUAAAUGAAAAUUGAUAAAUGGAAGAGGCAAACUAAAACAAAAAGAAUCUACAAGUGAAGAGAGCCUGGUAGAAAUGAAAUCCCAAACCAAUAUCUCUUAGUAAGAACGAGCAAAUCAAAAGCAUCUAAUAAAGAACAAAUGAACAAUUAUGAAGAUUAGAGAUGAGUAACUGUCGCUUAAACUAACGGCUUGCACCUAAAACCAUAGCUCCCCAAAGGUUUUUAAAAAAAAACACAAACAUAGCCAAUGAUUGAAAUUGCAACCCAAAAAGAAACGUGAUUUGAAGUUCAACCAUCUAAUCAGAUUCGAUAGGAAGUAGAGAAUUUUUUGCAUCUAAACACAUUAAGAAGAGGAAAGAAGGUAGAACAAUAUCAACCAAUCAAAAGCCUACCAACGAUUAUUAUUGGAGACCGACGCAGGUGGCUGGGGAGUUUGUUUCCCAGUUGCUUUUUCUCUCUUAUUGCUUUAAUAGAACCCCUCAAACUAGUGAAUUGAUAGAUGACCCCCUUACAUGACCAUAAUUAAUAUUAGUAUACUAGCUAUAUGUGCCAAUAGUAUUUGUUACAAUAUUCUUUUCAAAUUUAAACUUAUGCCGACUUAAUUCAACUUGUCUCAUUAUAUUGCUUUGUAUGUGGAACCAUUAUUUAGUUACAUCGAUGUUAAACGAGCUCAAAAUUAAGCUCUAUAGCUCGAGCUCGAAGAUAAACGAGCGUCUGAGCCGAGCUUAAGCAAUAAAUAAUUUAGACGAGCCGAUCUUGAAUGAAAAAUUAGGCUCGUAUUCAAACUCGAGGGAAGAUUAGCACACCCUAGAAAUUUUACGAGCCGAGCUUGAACAAUUCAAGCUCGUAAAGCACGGCUCGGUAGCCACGCCCAUUUAUUAAAACGAAUGCUUAGGUUGUGCAAUUAAUACACGGAUUGGUCUUGAUUAUGUUUGGGAUUGGGUCCAGGAAUGCAAGAGGACCUAUCGAAAUGGGUGAAUGGCCCAGGGAGAGGAGGAUCUGGAC